AUGCACGCUGGCGGCGUGCCUCAUACAUGCCAGUCGAGCGAACGGACGAGAAGCUUGCUUCUCUGAUGUUAGCGGCGGACGGGUGAGUAAUACGUGGAUAACCUACCUAUAAGACUGGGAUAACUUCGGGAAACCGGAGCUAAUACCGGAUAAUAUUUUGAACCGCAUGGUUCAAAAGUGAAAGACGGUCUUGCUGUCACUUAUAGAUGGAUCCGCGCUGCAUUAGCUAGUUGGUAAGGUAACGGCUUACCAAGGCAACGAUGCAUAGCCGACCUGAGAGGGUGAUCGGCCACACUGGAACUGAGACACGGUCCAGACUCCUACGGGAGGCAGCAGUAGGGAAUCUUCCGCAAUGGGCGAAAGCCUGACGGAGCAACGCCGCGUGAGUGAUGAAGGUCUUCGGAUCGUAAAACUCUGUUAUUAGGGAAGAACAUAUGUGUAAGUAACUGUGCACAUCUUGACGGUACCUAAUCAGAAAGCCACGGCUAACUACGUG
This 496-nucleotide ribosomal RNA is filed under the name uncultured bacterium. RNAcentral's name for it is "partial 16S ribosomal RNA". It matches the Rfam family "Bacterial small subunit ribosomal RNA", at positions 29 to 507 of the family's 1533-position model. The record is from RNAcentral.